This 67-nucleotide transfer RNA is filed under the name Potthastia sp. 1XL. Its description in RNAcentral is "tRNA-Glu". It matches the Rfam family "tRNA". From Rfam's summary of the family: Transfer RNA (tRNA) molecules are approximately 80 nucleotides in length. Lineage: Eukaryota; Metazoa; Arthropoda; Insecta; Diptera; Chironomidae. The record is from RNAcentral.
AUUUACAUAGUUUAAUAAUAAAACAUUACAUUUUCACUGUAAAAAUAAGAAUUUUUUUUUGUAAAUU